RNAcentral lists this ribosomal RNA (2930 nucleotides) under Bacillus cereus. RNAcentral's name for it is "23S ribosomal RNA". It matches the Rfam family "Bacterial large subunit ribosomal RNA". The record is from RNAcentral. Lineage: Bacteria; Bacillati; Bacillota; Bacilli; Caryophanales; Bacillaceae.
GGUUAAGUUAGAAAGGGCGCACGGUGGAUGCCUUGACACUAGGAGUCGAUGAAGGACGGGACUAACUAACGCCGAUAUGCUUCGGGGAGCUGUAAGUAAGCUUUGAUCCGAAGAUUUCCGAAUGGGGAAACCCACCAUACGUAAUGGUAUGGUAUCCUUAUCUGAAUACAUAGGGUAAGGAAGACAGACCCAGGGAACUGAAACAUCUAAGUACCUGGAGGAAGAGAAAGCAAAUGCGAUUUCCUGAGUAGCGGCGAGCGAAACGGAACAUAGCCCAAACCAAGAGGCUUGCCUCUUGGGGUUGUAGGACAUUCUAUACGGAGUUACAAAGGAACGAGGUAGACGAAGCGACCUGGAAAGGUCCGUCGUAGAGGGUAACAACCCCGUAGUCGAAACUUCGUUCUCUCUUGAAUGUAUCCUGAGUACGGCGGAACACGUGAAAUUCCGUCGGAAUCUGGGAGGACCAUCUCCCAAGGCUAAAUACUCCCUAGUGAUCGAUAGUGAACCAGUACCGUGAGGGAAAGGUGAAAAGCACCCCGGAAGGGGAGUGAAAGAGAUCCUGAAACCGUGUGCCUACAAAUAGUCAGAGCCCGUUAACGGGUGAUGGCGUGCCUUUUGUAGAAUGAACCGGCGAGUUACGAUCCCGUGCGAGGUUAAGCUGAAGAGGCGGAGCCGCAGCGAAAGCGAGUCUGAAUAGGGCGUUUAGUACGUGGUCGUAGACCCGAAACCAGGUGAUCUACCCAUGUCCAGGGUGAAGUUCAGGUAACACUGAAUGGAGGCCCGAACCCACGCACGUUGAAAAGUGCGGGGAUGAGGUGUGGGUAGCGGAGAAAUUCCAAUCGAACCUGGAGAUAGCUGGUUCUCCCCGAAAUAGCUUUAGGGCUAGCCUUAAGUGUAAGAGUCUUGGAGGUAGAGCACUGAUUGGACUAGGGGUCCUCAUCGGAUUACCGAAUUCAGUCAAACUCCGAAUGCCAAUGACUUAUCCUUAGGAGUCAGACUGCGAGUGAUAAGAUCCGUAGUCAAAAGGGAAACAGCCCAGACCGCCAGCUAAGGUCCCAAAGUGUGUAUUAAGUAAAAAAAGGAUGUGGAGUUGCUUAGACAACUAGGAUGUUGGCUUAGAAGCAGCCACCAUUUAAAGAGUGCGUAAUAGCUCACUAGUCGAGUGACUCUGCGCCGAAAAUGUACCGGGGCUAAAUACACCACCGAAGCUGCGGAUUGAUACCGAAUGGUAUCAGUGGUAGGGGAGCGUUCUAAGGACAGUGAAGUCAGACCGUAAGGACUGGUGGAGUGCUUAGAAGUGAGAAUGCCGGUAUGAGUAGCGAAAGACGGGUGAGAAUCCCGUCCACCGAAUGCCUAAGGUUUCCUGAGGAAGGCUCGUCCGCUCAGGGUUAGUCAGGACCUAAGCCGAGGCCGACAGGCGUAGGCGAUGGACAACAGGUUGAUAUUCCUGUACCACCUCUUUAUCGUUUGAGCAAUGGAGGGGGACGCAGAAGGAUAGAAGAAGCGUGCGAUUGGUUGUGCACGUCCAAGCAGUUAGGCUGAUAAGUAGGCAAAUCCGCUUAUCAUAAAGGCUGAGCUGUGAUGGGGAAGCUCCUUAUGGAGCGAAGUCUUUGAUUCCCCGCUGUCAAGAAAAGCUUCUAGCGAGAUAAAAGGUGCCUGUACCGCAAACCGACACAGGUAGGCGAGGAGAGAAUCCUAAGGUGUGCGAGAGAACUCUGGUUAAGGAACUCGGCAAAAUGACCCCGUAACUUCGGGAGAAGGGGUGCUUUCUUAACGGAAAGCCGCAGUGAAUAGGCCCAAGCGACUGUUUAGCAAAAACACAGCUCUCUGCGAAGCCGUAAGGCGAAGUAUAGGGGGUGACACCUGCCCGGUGCUGGAAGGUUAAGGAGAGGGGUUAGCGUAAGCGAAGCUCUGAACUGAAGCCCCAGUAAACGGCGGCCGUAACUAUAACGGUCCUAAGGUAGCGAAAUUCCUUGUCGGGUAAGUUCCGACCCGCACGAAAGGUGUAACGAUUUGGGCACUGUCUCAACCAGAGACUCGGUGAAAUUAUAGUACCUGUGAAGAUGCAGGUUACCCGCGACAGGACGGAAAGACCCCGUGGAGCUUUACUGUAGCCUGAUAUUGAAUUUUGGUACAGUUUGUACAGGAUAGGCGGGAGCCAUUGAAACCGGAGCGCUAGCUUCGGUGGAGGCGCUGGUGGGAUACCGCCCUGACUGUAUUGAAAUUCUAACCUACGGGUCUUAUCGACCCGGGAGACAGUGUCAGGUGGGCAGUUUGACUGGGGCGGUCGCCUCCUAAAGUGUAACGGAGGCGCCCAAAGGUUCCCUCAGAAUGGUUGGAAAUCAUUCGUAGAGUGCAAAGGCAUAAGGGAGCUUGACUGCGAGACCUACAAGUCGAGCAGGGACGAAAGUCGGGCUUAGUGAUCCGGUGGUUCCGCAUGGAAGGGCCAUCGCUCAACGGAUAAAAGCUACCCCGGGGAUAACAGGCUUAUCUCCCCCAAGAGUCCACAUCGACGGGGAGGUUUGGCACCUCGAUGUCGGCUCAUCGCAUCCUGGGGCUGUAGUCGGUCCCAAGGGUUGGGCUGUUCGCCCAUUAAAGCGGUACGCGAGCUGGGUUCAGAACGUCGUGAGACAGUUCGGUCCCUAUCCGUCGUGGGCGUAGGAAAUUUGAGAGGAGCUGUCCUUAGUACGAGAGGACCGGGAUGGACGCACCGCUGGUGUACCAGUUGUUCUGCCAAGGGCAUAGCUGGGUAGCUAUGUGCGGAAGGGAUAAGUGCUGAAAGCAUCUAAGCAUGAAGCCCCCCUCAAGAUGAGAUUUCCCAUAGCGUAAGCUAGUAAGAUCCCUGAAAGAUGAUCAGGUUGAUAGGUUCGAGGUGGAAGCAUGGUGACAUGUGGAGCUGACGAAUACUAAUAGAUCGAGGACUUAACCAU